This 431-nucleotide ribosomal RNA is filed under the name uncultured bacterium. Its description in RNAcentral is "partial 16S ribosomal RNA". It matches the Rfam family "Bacterial small subunit ribosomal RNA", at positions 29 to 507 of the family's 1533-position model. The record is from RNAcentral.
AACGAACGCUGGCGGCAGGCUUAACACAUGCAAGUCGAACGCCCCGCAAGGGGAGUGGCAGACGGGUGAGUAACGCGUGGGAAUCUACCCAUCCCUACGGAAUAACGCAUGGAAACGUGUGCUAAUACCGUAUACGCCCUACGGGGGAAAGAUUUAUCGGGGAUGGAUGAGCCCGCGUUGGAUUAGCUAGUUGGUGGGGUAAAGGCCUACCAAGGCGACGAUCCAUAGCUGGUCUGAGAGGAUGAUCAGCCACAUUGGGACUGAGACACGGCCCAAACUCCUACGGGAGGCAGCAGUGGGGAAUAUUGGACAAUGGGCGCAAGCCUGAUCCAGCCACGCCGCGUGAGUGAUGAAGGCCUUAGGGUUGUAAAGCUCUUUCACCGGAGAAGAUAAUGACGGUAUCCGGAGAAGAAGCCCCGGCUAACUUCGUG